Molecule: long non-coding RNA, 278 nt
Filed under: Elaeis guineensis (African oil palm)
Lineage: Eukaryota; Viridiplantae; Streptophyta; Magnoliopsida; Arecales; Arecaceae
Description: long non-coding RNA (EGUI_LNC034172)
Source: RNAcentral
GUUUGAAUUUGAAUGGAUAACUUAUCUCUUUUGCCUUCAAGCUUAUCCAUCUUGUGCGUCACAUAAUUCACACGAGAAAAAGUUUCUCGUGAAACCUUUUCACGCACAAAGAGUCCACUCCCUUCUCUUCUCACACCACAAGUGGAUAGGGAUGAGUUGGUUUUCAUUUGAAUUCAAAUUUGAUUUGAAUUCAAAUGUGUAACCACUUGUCUUUAUCCUCUCACGCGGAUAAGACACGUUUUGAACUGUUUUAAAAGAGAUAGGGAGCUGGGGCGUGC